CCCACAUCAUCUGGAUCCUGUUCAAGGACUUCUGAAUAGUGGGAAAUUUUGUGAGUUUGUAUUCCUGUGUGGUAAACUUCCUCUCUAAGGUCUGCCUAAGAAUUAGGGGGUGAUCCUGAGAGAAUUUGGAAAUUUCUCAGUAUCCAAGGCAAGGCCAUACGGUACUUCUAUAGCAUUAAAACCAAAACAACUUCACCCAAGGGAGGUGUCAUUUGCAUAUAGCAAUCUGUACCCACAAGAAGUUUUGUCCCACUGCCCAUGUCAGCUCUGCAGCCCCAACCACAUUUUGAGUUCCUCCAAGCUUUUGCUCUAGACUCGACUGGGAAGGGAUGUCGUCAAGGAGCCAAGCUGCAACUACUUUCCCUUCUUCUCAUCCAGGUGGUGGGAUUUCCAUUGCAGAAGGCAUGUUGUUGAAUAUCUGAGGGGAUGGGAAGGCACCUAUCCCACAAGAGGCAGUGCUGGAAAGAAAGAAGAAAAGAAGGAAAGAAAGAAGGAAAGUAGGAAGGAAGGAACGAAGGAA
Molecule: long non-coding RNA, 520 nt
Organism: Pseudopipra pipra
Lineage: Eukaryota; Metazoa; Chordata; Aves; Passeriformes; Pipridae
Exons: 2
Source: RefSeq, a predicted model, not a curated record